This 445-nucleotide ribosomal RNA is filed under the name uncultured bacterium. RNAcentral's name for it is "partial 16S ribosomal RNA". It matches the Rfam family "Bacterial small subunit ribosomal RNA", at positions 354 to 796 of the family's 1533-position model. The record is from RNAcentral.
GUGAGGAAUAUUGCGCAAUGGAGGCAACUCUGACGCAGCCAUGCCGCGUGCAGGAAGAAGGCGCUACGCGUUGUAAACUGCUUUUAACCGGGAAGAAACCCCAGGACGUGUCCUGGGUUGACGGUACCGGAGGAAUAAGCACCGGCUAACUUCGUGCCAGCAGCCGCGGUAAUACGAAGGGUGCAAGCGUUAUCCGGAUUCAUUGGGUUUAAAGGGUGCGUAGGCGGAGCGUUAAGUCAGUGGUGAAAUCCUGCAGCUUAACUGUAGACUUGCCAUUGAUACUGGCGCGCUUGAGUGCGCUUGAAGUGGGCGGAAUGUGCCGUGUAGCGGUGAAAUGCUUAGAGAUGGCACAGAACACCAAUUGCGAAGGCAGCUCACUAAGGCGAUACUGACGCUGAGGCACGAAAGCGUGGGGAUCGAACAGGAUUAGAUACCCCAGUAGUCC